RNAcentral lists this ribosomal RNA (253 nucleotides) under uncultured bacterium. RNAcentral describes it as "partial 16S ribosomal RNA". It matches the Rfam family "Bacterial small subunit ribosomal RNA", at positions 524 to 776 of the family's 1533-position model. The record is from RNAcentral.
UACAGAGGGGGCAAGCGUUGUUCGGAAUUACUGGGCGUAAAGGGCGCGUAGGCGGCCGCCUAAGUCAGACGUGAAAUCCCUCGGCUUAACCGGGGAACUGCGUCUGAUACUGGAUGGCUUGAGAUUGGGAGAGGGAUGCGGAAUUCCAGGUGUAGCGGUGAAAUGCGUAGAUAUCGGGAGGAACACCAGAGGCGAAGGCGGCCACCUGGACGAACACUGACGCUGAGACGCGAAAGCGUGGGGAGCAAACAGG